This 263-nucleotide ribosomal RNA is filed under the name uncultured Eubacteriales bacterium. RNAcentral's name for it is "uncultured Clostridiales bacterium partial 16S ribosomal RNA". It matches the Rfam family "Bacterial small subunit ribosomal RNA", at positions 75 to 339 of the family's 1533-position model. Lineage: Bacteria; Bacillati; Bacillota; Clostridia; Eubacteriales. The record is from RNAcentral.
UUGAUUCUUAACUGACUGAGCGGCGGACGGGUGAGUAACGCGUGGGUGACCUGCCCCAUACCGGGGGAUAACAGCUGGAAACGGCUGCUAAUACCGCAUGACACAUAGGUGUCGCAUGGCACUUAUGUCAAAGAUUUAUCGCUGAAAGAUGGCCUCGCGUCUGAUUAGCUAGUUGGUGAGGUAACGGCCCACCAAGGCGACGAUCAGUAGCCGGACUGAGAGGUUGAACGGCCACAUUGGGACUGAGAUACGGCCCAGACUCC